GAUUUUGGGAAACUACCUGAUAGAGGGGGACAACAGUUGGAAACGACUGCUAAUACCGCAUACAGCCUUAGGGUGAAAGAAGCAAUUCGCUAUCAGAUGUGCCCAAAUGGGAUUAGCUAGUAGGUGAGGUAAAGGCUCACCUAGGCGACGAUCUCUAGCUGGUCUGAGAGGAUGAUCAGCCACAUUUGGGACUGAGACACGGCCCAGA
RNAcentral lists this ribosomal RNA (208 nucleotides) under uncultured bacterium. Its description in RNAcentral is "partial 16S ribosomal RNA". It matches the Rfam family "Bacterial small subunit ribosomal RNA", at positions 113 to 335 of the family's 1533-position model. The record is from RNAcentral.